CGCCUAGUAUCCGCGCGGGAGCCCCGCCCAGGCCUCCGGGAGCCCGCGGCGCCGCCACGCGCGAGACAGGGCCCGGAAGGAGGCGGUGCUGCGCUUCGAGGCUGGGGCCGGGCGAAGGCGACGCUCCGCCUCGGGAGACUUGGAAAAUAGAGGGAAGUGGAGGAAACACCCACAGUUCCACUACUCGAACAUAAUUUUCCACGUUUGCUCAUUCCUUUUCAGCUGACAUCACGAAGUACAGUGCUCUCCAGUCCUCGCCCUGGCUCAGGACCCGUGAACCCACUUUGCACGUGGGCCGGGCACGCCACUUUUCCCAGUCAGGGACCUGGGCCCCAGCGCGCGCCCCCGAGGGCCCCGCGGAAAUGCCCUGGCCCACCCGCCGGAAGUGACGUAACGCCACGUCCUAGCAACCGUUGCCAAGGAGCUCGUCUCUAGGAACCCACUAGAGCCUGGAUGCCUCCUGCGGGGGGAAAAAAAGUGGUUUCUUGACAAGAAUUUGAGUUAUAAGACCUAAUUAUGAGCGAUCAAAUCAAAUUCAUUGUGGACAAUCUCAAUAAGGAGCCUUUUAGGAAGAACUAUAAUUUAAUAACAUUUGAUUCCCUGGAGCCAAUGCAACUAUUGCAAAUUCUCAAUGAUGUUCUGGCUGAGAUUGACCCAAAGCAAGUUGUUGAUAUCAGAGAGGAGAUGCCAGAGCACACAGCCAAAAGGAUGUUGAGCCUUCUUGGUAUCCUUAAAUACAAACCUCCAGGAAAUGCUACAGACAUGAGUACCUUUCGUCAGGGUCUGGUGAUUGGAAGUAAACCUGUAAUUUACCCAGUGCUCCACUGGCUUCUUCAGAGGACUAAUGAACUGAAGAAAAGAGCCUAUUUAGCUCGUUUUUUAAUAAAACUUGAGGUACCAAGUGAGUUUCUUCAGGACGAAACAGUGGCUGAUACCAAUAAACAGUAUGAAGAGCUGAUGGAAGCCUUUAAAACUUUGCAUAAAGAAUGUGAGCAACUCAAGACAUCUGGAUUUUCUACAGCAGAAAUAAGAAGGGAUAUCAGUGCAAUGGAGGAUGAAAAGGAUCAGCUCAUUAAGAGAGUUGAACGUUUGAAGAAAAGGGUGGAGACAGUUCAGAAUCAUCAACGGAUGCUUAAAAUAGCAAGGCAACUUCGAGUUGAAAAAGAGAGAGAAGAAUUUCUUGCACAACAGAAACAGGAACAAAAGAAUCAGCUAUUUCAUGCGGUGCAGAGACUGCAAAGAGUACAAAAUCAGCUGAAAAGUAUGCGCCACGCAGCAGCAGAUGCAAAGCCUGAAAGUUUAAUGAAGAGACUAGAGGAAGAGAUAAAGUUUAAUUCUUAUAUGGUAACUGAAAAAUUUCCUAAAGAAUUAGAGAGCAAGAAAAAAGAAUUGCAUUUUCUACAAAAAGUGGUUUCAGAGCCUGCCAUGGGCCAUUCUGAUCUUCUUGAACUAGAAUCUAACAUAAAUGAAAUAAACACACAGAUAAAUCAGCUGAUUGAAAAGAAAAUGAUGAGAAAUGAGCCAAUUGAAGGCAAACUCUCACUAUACAGGCAACAGGCAUCCAUCAUUUCUCGUAAAAAAGAAGCCAAAGCUGAGGAACUUCAGGAAGCAAAGGAGAAGUUAGCCAGCCUAGAGAGAGAGGUAUCAGUGAAGACAAAUCAGACCCGCGAAUUUGAUGGCACUGAAGUUUUGAAGGGAGAUGAGUUCAAACGAUAUGUCAGUAAACUUCGAAGCAAGAGUACAGUUUUCAAAAAGAAGCAUCAAAUAAUAGCUGAAUUUAAAGCUGAAUUCGGCCUCUUGCAGAGGACAGAAGAACUUCUUAAGCAACGGCAUGAAAAUAUUCAACAUCAACUGCGAACUAUUGAAGAGAAAAAGGGCAUAUCUGGAUAUAGUUACACUCAGGAAGAGCUAGAAAGGGUAUCUGCACUGAAGAGUGAAGUCGACGAAAUGAAAGGCCGAACGCUAGAUGACAUGUCUGAAAUGGUAAAAAAACUGAAUUCACUGGUGUCUGAAAAGAAGUCAGCUCUAGCCCCAGUUAUAAAAGAACUACGACAGUUGCGUCAGAAAUGUCAAGAACUAACCCAAGAGUGUGAUGAAAAGAAACCCCAGUAUGAUAGCUGUGCAGCAGGCCUCGAAAGCAAUCGGUCCAAAUUAGAACAGGAAGUCAGAGGACUCCGUGAAGAAUGUCUUCAGGAAGAAAGUAGAUACCAUUACACAAAUUGUAUGAUUAAGAACCUAGAAGUACAACUUCGUCGUGCUACUGAUGAGAUGAAGACUUAUGUUUCUUCUGAUCAACAAGAAAAAAGAAAGGCAAUUAGGCAACAGUAUACAAAAAAUAUUACUGAACAGGAAAACCUUGGAAAGAAACUCCGAGAAAAACAAAAAGCUGUACGAGAAAGUCAUGGUCCAAAUAUGAAACAAGCGAAAAUGUGGCGUGAUUUUGAACAAUUGAUGGAAUGUAAGAAACAGUGCUUUCUGAAACAACAAAGCCAAACUUCCAUUGGUCAGAAACUCCUCCAACUGCACAAAACUUCUGAACUGUGCUUUUUAAAGAUAUGAAAAAGGAAAAUAUGAUGAUACCUACAAAAUACUCCCAAGACCUGUAGUGCUCAAAGAAGAUUUUAGUGAUGGAAAAGUCUCAGAGAAAAGGUCUAGAAACCAGAUCCCAGGGCCUGGAAUGUUUCUGUCUAGUCCCUAAGAUGCAUCUUUUCCUGUUACCAAAAGGUCUGAGACACCCAGUUGGUAAUCAGAAGCUCUUACAGGGAGCCUGGAAAGUAGCUGCAGACUCUUAUGGCAUUUUUACUUCCAAGUAUGUAAGUACAGCUCUGUGGUGGCUGGGAAACCGACCAGGAGACUGUGUCCCUGUCCUUGCCUGUGUAAUGCUAUACAAAUACUGUCACAUUUGUGUCAUGGAGGGGGUCUCCUUUGGUCAAUACCCUGUGGGCGAUCCCUCUGUUUGUUGUUACACAGGAUGGAGUCUAAGUAGACAGUAAAUGAGAAGGUGAAGUUUCCUUGGAUUAUCCAUGGUGGGGAGGCCCCAGGUACAGGGAGACUGAAGGAUGAGUAGCGGCUAGCCCAUAACUGCAAGUUCACGGUUGCCCCCAGCAACACCUCUUAUGACGUGUCUGCCUUUAAGUGGCCGACCUUAGUAAUUUUGGAUUCUCAGUAGUUUUCUUCUCAGAAGUUGACCUUAUAAAGAGCCUCUGGGGGUAUCUCCUACCUGAUCCUUCACCCCGGGCCCCCAUCUUCCCUUCCCAUUUCUCCUUCACCAGUAAAACCCAUUCCUUCAUCCUGCCCUGCCUGUGCAUGUACAUCUCUAGCACAAGGGAAGGGGACUUGGGGGACAUUGGUUAUUUUUACUUUAGGACUAGUAUAAAGUUGAGACAUGGUCAACCAAUCCCAGACUUGAGCCCACUGAUGUCUCAGAUUUUAAGAAGCACCAACCAGUCUUUCCAAGUGCCAUGUUCCACCAACACUUUCCUUCACUUGUCUUGACGUUGUUAGACCCCCCACGGUGUGGUUUUAUCGCCUGCCUCCAUUCAGAUUUUUUUUUUCCCAGAUGUGGAACGCUUCACAAAUUUACAUGUCAUUCUUGUACAGGAACCAUGCUAAUCUUCUCUGUAUUGUUCCAAUUUUAGUCUGUGCACUGCCACAUCAAGCACCUUCCUUUCAGAUUCUGAGGGUCAUUUGACUUUGUCUCUGGCAGCUGCCAUUUUCUGCCUCCUACCUGACAUGGCACCCUGUGUCAUGUGAACCCUUACACAUGGUGGCUCUGCCCAGUCUGGGCCCUUAGGGAGGGCGUCUAGCAAGAUCAGCUUAAUUUCUACGUCCACUUUUACAGGACAACUUCAUUCAGUGUCCAUUACACUUUUUGUGUAAUAUUUAUUUUGGGGAAAGCGGAAACAGAGGAGGGGCUGAGAGAGGGGGAAAGAGGAUCCGAACCGGCUCUGUACUGACCAACUGACAGCAGUGAACUCGAUAUGGGGCUCAAACUCAUGAGCCAUGAGAUCGUGACCUGAGCCGAAGUCAGAUGCUCAACCAACUAAGCCACCCAGGUGCCCCCAUUACACUUUUAAAAUGCUUAAACCAAAUCACUCCAGUCUCUUUUCUUGAUACCUUUUCUUCAUACCUUUUCUUUAUACCUUUAUACCUUGGCCUUUACACCGAGCUGUGGCCUUCCACACUUCUGGCCCUAAAGCCUCAGCAGCUGUUUGGUGUAAGCCAGCUCAGUGCCCUUGCAGUGAGUUUGGGGAAUCUAUUAGCUUUAUCCCUAAAGUUAGACUCCACACUGUCUCAGAAGAAUGGUAGAGUGAGACAGAAGACGAGGGGUGGUCAAGAGAGAAGCUAGGAAAAGAUUUGUACCGAUGCUAGAAAAAAAUGAAAGCUCUUCAUGGGUUUACUUAUGCAAGAUGCAAGGUAAAGUGCAAAUACCUUGACCCAGCAGUUGUUCCGCACCCCUGACCGCCUUCCAAAUUCACACACACACACACACUCACCAGACACACUUAGCAAUUCAAAGCUCUGGUCUGGAAAAUCUUGCCCCUGGGGUGUCAGUUAGUCCCCUAGUGAUGACAGGUUUAAUGGUUCCGUAUCUCUGCAUUCCACAAGGACCACCUACCCAGAGGCCACACCCUCCUGACCUGGUUAGGCAGGGCCUGAGACUCCACAGGGAACAUGAGAGCAGUAUGGAUCGAGGGUCCAGGGGCCUGUGCUCUUGUUUGGGUGAAUCGCUCUGGGUUGCUGUGUGACUAUAUCUAUGUUGCUUGCCCUCUCUGUAAUUCAGGGUCCGUGGGUAUAAAAUGGGACUGAUGGUUCUUGUCUCAUAGAAAUAUCAUGAGAAAGUAAACUAUGGUCUUUGAGAGUUUAUGCUUCUAAGUAGUCAAGGAGUCAGGGAAGUCCUGUGUUUUCUCUUUUUUGGAUAUUGAGGGGAGGUUUCCUGGGCUCUCUUAUGCAAGCCCUCAGAAGACAUUUAAUCAGAGAGUAAGGCUGAAAUUUUUUAAAAAGUAAACCUCACAAAAGAAGAGCCUUGGGGCACCUAGGUGACUCAGUCAGUUGAGCUUCUAGACCUUGGUUUCAGCUCAGGUUAUGAUCUCACAGUUCAUGGAUUCAAGGCCUGCAUUGGGCUCCACACUGACAUUGCAGAGCCUGGUUGGGAUUCUCUCUCUCCCUUUCUCUCAAAAGAAAUAAACAAACUUAGAAGAAGGAGGAGGAGGAGGAGGAGGAGGAGGAGGA
This is an RNA transcript of Neofelis nebulosa (Clouded leopard), 5232 nucleotides long. It is a transcript of the gene named intraflagellar transport 81, with no coding region annotated. NCBI's taxonomy places the organism in Eukaryota, Metazoa, Chordata, Mammalia, Carnivora, Felidae. The record is from RefSeq and is a predicted model, not a curated record. The transcript has 23 exons.